This 77-nucleotide ribozyme is filed under the name Crocodylus porosus (Australian saltwater crocodile). RNAcentral describes it as "Mammalian CPEB3 ribozyme (ENSCPRG00005017589.1)". It matches the Rfam family "Mammalian CPEB3 ribozyme". From Rfam's summary of the family: The mammalian CPEB3 ribozyme is a self cleaving RNA located in the second intron of the CPEB3 gene which belongs to a family of genes regulating messenger RNA polyadenylation. This ribozyme is highly conserved and found only in mammals. The record is from Rfam by way of RNAcentral. Lineage: Eukaryota; Metazoa; Chordata; Crocodylia; Crocodylidae.
AGAUGUCACAAGGUAGUCGCCACAGAAGUGCUCACAGUGCAGCCCUGUCAGAUUCCAAGGAAUCUGUGAAUUCUGCU